This 251-nucleotide ribosomal RNA is filed under the name uncultured bacterium. Its description in RNAcentral is "partial 16S ribosomal RNA". It matches the Rfam family "Bacterial small subunit ribosomal RNA", at positions 83 to 339 of the family's 1533-position model. The record is from RNAcentral.
GGAAUGAGUAAAGCGGCGGACGGGUGAGUAACGCGUGAGAAUCUACCUUUUAGUGAAGAAUACCCUCGAGAAAUCGAGGUUAAUGCUGCAUACGUCCCUUCGGGGAGAAAGAUGGCCUCUUUGCUAUCGCUGAAAGAUGAGCUUGCGUACUAUUAGCUAGUUGGUGGGGUAAUGGCUUACCAAGGCGAAGAUGGUUAACCGGCCUGAGAGGGUGUACGGUCACAUUGGAACUGAGAUACGGUCCAGACUCC